CCUACGGGAGGCAGCAGUGGGGAAUUGUUCGCAAUGGGCGCAAGCCUGACGACGCAACGCCGCGUGGAGGAUGAAGAUUUUCGGAUCGUAAACUCCUGUCGAGCGGGAAGAAUAGUUUCCGGGCGAAUAUCCCGGGAACCUGACGGUACCGCUAAAGGAAGCCCCGGCUAACUCCGUGCCAGCAGCCGCGGUAAUACGGGGGGGGCAAGCGUUGUUCGGAAUUACUGGGCGUAAAGGGCUCGUAGGCGGCCAACUAAGUCAGACGUGAAAUCCCCAGGCUUAACCUGGGAACUGCGUCUGAUACUGGAUGGCUUGAAUUCGGGAGAGGGAUGCAGAAUUCCAGGUGUAGCGGUGAAAUGCGUAGAUAUCUGGAGGAAUACCGGUGGCGAAGGCGGCAUCCUGGACCGACAUUGACGCUGAGGAGCGAAAGCUAGGGGAGCAAACGGGAUUAGAUACCCUAGUAGUC
Molecule: ribosomal RNA, 466 nt
Filed under: Bacillus paralicheniformis
Lineage: Bacteria; Bacillati; Bacillota; Bacilli; Caryophanales; Bacillaceae
Description: bacterial SSU rRNA
Rfam family: Bacterial small subunit ribosomal RNA
Source: RNAcentral